GGCAGAGCGGGAAGCUCCGCCCCUCGCGGAACCCCGGCCUGUGCGCAGUUCCCGUGCCCUAGGAGUUGGCGGCGGGGCCCAGCCGAGAAUCUUCUUCCCUUCUGGUCUGACUAGGAAAGCCAGAGGGAGAUGGUGAAGGAGACACAGAGAGAGUAAAAGAACAGACCAUGCCCAGCCUCUCCACUGCAGGAGCUUGGAAUCAGAUGGCGGCAUGCAAAGCUCUAAGGUGCAACAGCUGGGGAGCCAAGCUGAAACCUCUCUUCCCUGUCUCAGCAUCUGGAGUCUUCAUGGAAGUGAGAAGUUUGCAGGUUUGCAGCUGCAGCCCUUUCAUGACAAGUUCGAUUUUUCCUAAAUAACUUCAUGCUUGUGUGGUAUAUCCUUUCAUGCUUUCCCUGGUGACCAAAGCUCUCAUGCCAUUUACCUUGCUCCAGUGAAGCAGAGUUGCCAGCCAUCUAUGGAUCCUAACUAAAUUGGUCCUUGUAAUACUCGGUAUUAUUUGCCAAGAUAUUGAAAAACCUCUAAACAGUGAGAAGCUCCCAGCCCCUUUUCUGUGUCUCUCAUCACCAGCUGCUGUGCCCUGAGGACACCCAGGCAGCCUAAGGAGAGGCCCACAGGUGAGAAACUGCAUGUGUGAGCUGAGCUUGGAAGUGGAUCUUCUAUGUUUUGCCAACAGCCACGUGACUAGUUUUGGAAGCAGAUUCUCCAGCCCCAGCUGCACCUGUGCCAGAGGCACCCAUUAAGCCGCACCUAGUUAAAUUCCUGACCCACAAAGACUUUGAAAUCAUAAAUGUUUGUUGUUUUAAGCUGCUAAGUUUUGAAGUAAUCUGCCAUGUAGCAACAUGAAACUACUUGGACCAAAUAUGUGUUUUUCUAAGCACAGGAAUAUUCACACUUUAUUAAACUUGAGUAUUCCAACAAUAGGAUGGAAGUCCAAGUUUUAUUUCUUUGCUGGGACCCUCACAUGCAUGUAUCACAUAUGUAUCAUUAAAAAAUGAAGGACA
This 1001-nucleotide long non-coding RNA is filed under the name Homo sapiens (human). RNAcentral's name for it is "HSALNT0293406". The record is from RNAcentral. Lineage: Eukaryota; Metazoa; Chordata; Mammalia; Primates; Hominidae.